GGGGAUAUAGCUCAGUGGUAGAGUGCUUGCCUCACAUGCACAAAUCCCUGGGUUCAAUCCCCAGCAUGCUCC
RNAcentral lists this transfer RNA (72 nucleotides) under Ictidomys tridecemlineatus (thirteen-lined ground squirrel). Its description in RNAcentral is "Spermophilus tridecemlineatus (thirteen-lined ground squirrel) tRNA". It matches the Rfam family "tRNA". Rfam says of the family: Transfer RNA (tRNA) molecules are approximately 80 nucleotides in length. Their secondary structure includes four short double-helical elements and three loops (D, anti-codon, and T loops). The record is from Rfam by way of RNAcentral. Lineage: Eukaryota; Metazoa; Chordata; Mammalia; Rodentia; Sciuridae.